AACGAACGCUGGCGGCAUGCCUAACACAUGCGAGUCGAACGAGACCUUCGGGUCUAGUGGCGCACGGGUGCGUAACGCGUGGGAACCUGCCCUUAGGUUCGGAAUAACUCCCCGAAAGGGGUGCUAAUACCGGAUAAUGUCUUCGGACCAAAGAUUUAUCGCCUUUGGAUGGGCCCGCGUUAGAUUAGCUAGUUGGUAGGGUAAAAGCCUACCAAGGCGACGAUCCAUAGCUGGUCUGAGAGGAUGAUCAGCCACACUGGGACUGAGACACGGCCCAGACUCCUACGGGAGGCAGCAGUGGGGAAUAUUGGACAAUGGGCGAAAGCCUGAUCCAGCAAUGCCGCGUGAGUGAUGAAGGCCUUAGGGUUGUAAAGCUCUUUUACCCGGGAUGAUAAUGACAGUACCGGGAGAAUAAGCUCCGGCUAACUCCGUG
RNAcentral lists this ribosomal RNA (433 nucleotides) under uncultured bacterium. RNAcentral's name for it is "partial 16S ribosomal RNA". It matches the Rfam family "Bacterial small subunit ribosomal RNA", at positions 29 to 507 of the family's 1533-position model. The record is from RNAcentral.